UAAGGAUCGGCUAACUCCGUGCCAGCAGCCGCGGUAAUACGGAGGAUCCAAGCGUUAUCCGGGAUUUAUUGGGUUUAAAGGGUGCGUAGGCGGUUUAAUAAGUCAGUGGUGAAAUCUUGCAGCUUAACUGUAAAAUUGCCAUUGAUACUGUUAGACUUGAGUAUAGUUGAGGUGGGCGGAAUGUGUUGUGUAGCGGUGAAAUGCAUAGAUAUAACACAGAACACCAAUUGCGAAGGCAGCUCACUAAGCUAUAACUGACGCUGAGGCACGAAAGCGUGGGUAGCGAACAGGAUUAGAUACCCUGGUAGUCCACGCCGUAAACGAUGAUUACUCGUUGCAGGCGAUAUAGAGUCUGUGACUGAGCGAAAGCAUUAAGUAAUCCACCUGGGGAGUACGUUGGCAACGAUGAAACUCAAAGGAAUUGACGGGGGCCCGCACAAGCGGAGGAACAUGUGGUUUAAUUCGAUGAUACGCGAGGAGCCUUACCUGGAUUUAAAUGUGCUUGACCGCCUCAGAAAAGGGGUUUUCCGCAAGGACAAGUACAAGGUGCUGCAUGGUUGUCGUCAGCUCGUGCCGUGAGGUGUCGGGUUAAGUCCCAUAACGAGCGCAACCCACGUUGUUAGUUACCAGCAUGUAAUGAUGGGGACUCUAGCAAGACUGCCGGUGUAAACCGCGAGGAAGGUGUGGAUGACGUCAAAUCAGCACGGCCCUUACAUCCAGGGCUACACACGUGUUACAAUGGCCGGUACAGAGGGCAGCUACUUAGUGAUAAGAUGCCAAUCUUCAAAACCGGUCUCAGUUCGGAUCGAAGUCUGCAACCCGACUUCGUGAAGCUGGAUUCGCUAGUAAUCGCAUAUCAGCCAUGAUGCGGUGAAUACGUUCCCGGGCCUUGUACACACCGACCGU
Molecule: ribosomal RNA, 906 nt
Filed under: uncultured bacterium
Lineage: Bacteria
Description: bacterial SSU rRNA
Rfam family: Bacterial small subunit ribosomal RNA
Source: RNAcentral